UGAACGCUGGCGGCAGGCCUAAUACAUGCAAGUCGAACGGCUCUUCGGAGCAGUGGCGGACGGGUGAGUAACGCGUGGGAAUGUGCCCUUUGGUACGGAACAACACAGGGAAACUUGUGCUAAUACCGUAUGUGCCCUUCGGGGGAAAGAUUUAUCGCCAUUGGAGCAGCCCGCGUUGGAUUAGGUAGUUGGUGAGGUAAAGGCUCACCAAGCCUACGAUCCAUAGCUGGUCUGAGAGGAUGAUCAGCCACACUGGGACUGAGACACGGCCCAGACUCCUACGGGAGGCAGCAGUAGGGAAUCUUGCGCAAUGGGCGAAAGCCUGACGCAGCCAUGCCGCGUGAAUGAUGAAGGUCUUAGGAUUGUAAAAUUCUUUCACCGGGGAAGAUAAUGACGGUACCCGGAGAAGAAGCCCCGGCUAACUUCGUGCCAGCCGCCGCCGUAA
This 445-nucleotide ribosomal RNA is filed under the name uncultured bacterium. RNAcentral describes it as "partial 16S ribosomal RNA". It matches the Rfam family "Bacterial small subunit ribosomal RNA", at positions 30 to 523 of the family's 1533-position model. The record is from RNAcentral.